Molecule: ribosomal RNA, 497 nt
Filed under: uncultured bacterium
Lineage: Bacteria
Description: partial 16S ribosomal RNA
Rfam family: Bacterial small subunit ribosomal RNA
Source: RNAcentral
GAUGAACGCUGGCGGCGUGCCUAAUACAUGCAAGUCGAGCGAACAGACGAGGAGCUUGCUCCUCUGACGUUAGCGGCGGACGGGUGAGUAACACGUGGAUAACCUACCUAUAAGACUGGGAUAACUUCGGGAAACCGGAGCUAAUACCGGAUAAUAUAUUGAACCGCAUGGUUCAAUAGAGAAAGACGGUUUUGCUGUCACUUAUAGAUGGAUCCGCGCCGCAUUAGCUAGUUGGUAAGGUAACGGCUUACCAAGGCAACGAUGCGUAGCCGACCUGAGAGGGUGAUCGGCCACACUGGAACUGAGACACGGUCCAGACUCCUACGGGAGGCAGCAGUAGGGAAUCUUCCGCAAUGGGCGAAAGCCUGACGGAGCAACGCCGCGUGAGUGAUGAAGGUCUUCGGAUCGUAAAACUCUGUUAUUAGGGAAGAACAAAUGUGUAAGUAACUAUGCACGUCUUGACGGUACCUAAUCAGAAAGCCACGGCUAACUACGUG